GUCCGAAGUGGCUUCACCACUUUGGACAAAGAAAGCUAUUGAGCAAAAGGCGAGAUAUCUAAAGUAGAGAUAUCUGAAGUCAAAAUGUCUAAGGUUGAAAUAUCUUAAGUCGAAAUAUCUGAAGUUGAACCUUGGCUGUAAAUUUUGCAAAGCCAAUAUCAUCGUUUUUGAUCUCUACUCGACUUGUCCAUGGGAGAGG
RNAcentral lists this long non-coding RNA (199 nucleotides) under Elaeis guineensis (African oil palm). RNAcentral describes it as "long non-coding RNA (EGUI_LNC043206)". Lineage: Eukaryota; Viridiplantae; Streptophyta; Magnoliopsida; Arecales; Arecaceae. The record is from RNAcentral.